RNAcentral lists this ribosomal RNA (253 nucleotides) under uncultured bacterium. Its description in RNAcentral is "partial 16S ribosomal RNA". It matches the Rfam family "Bacterial small subunit ribosomal RNA", at positions 524 to 776 of the family's 1533-position model. The record is from RNAcentral.
UACAGAGGUCUCAAGCGUUGUUCGGAUUCAUUGGGCGUAAAGGGUGCGUAGGCGGCGUGGUAAGUCGGGUGUGAAAUCUCGGGGCUUAACUCCGAGACUGCAUUCGAUACUGCCGUGCUUGAGGACUGGAGGGGAGACUGGAAUUUACGGUGUAGCGGUGAAAUGCGUAGAUAUCGUAAGGAAGACCAGUGGCGAAGGCGGGUCUCUGGACAGUUCCUGACGCUGAGGCACGAAGGUCAGGGGAGCAAACGGG